GGGUCAGUAGGUUGGUCGUGCCACCGGUACGUACUGGUCUCACUGAUUCCUCCUUCCUGAAGAACCGUAAUGCCAUUAAUUUGGUGUUGCGGGGAAACAGGACUGUUACUUUGAAAAAAUUAGAGUGUUUAAAGCAAGCUAACGCUUGUAUACAUUAGCAUGGAAUAAUGAAAUAGGACGAUCGAUCCUAUUUUGUUGGUUUCUAGGAUUGACGUA
This 216-nucleotide ribosomal RNA is filed under the name Glomeromycotina sp. Its description in RNAcentral is "partial small subunit ribosomal RNA". The stretch from base 40 to 216 matches the Rfam family "Eukaryotic small subunit ribosomal RNA", at positions 686 to 864 of the family's 1831-position model. The record is from RNAcentral. Lineage: Eukaryota; Fungi; Glomeromycota.